This 342-nucleotide ribosomal RNA is filed under the name uncultured bacterium. Its description in RNAcentral is "bacterial SSU rRNA". It matches the Rfam family "Bacterial small subunit ribosomal RNA", at positions 335 to 665 of the family's 1533-position model. The record is from RNAcentral.
ACUCCUACGGGAGGCAGCAGUGGGGAAUAUUGCACAAUGGGGGAAACCCUGAUGCAGCCAUGCCGCGUGUGUGAAGAAGGCCUUCGGGUUGUAAAGACACUUUCUAGUAGGGAGGAAGGUAGUGUAGUUAACACCUGCAUUAUUUGUACGUUACCUACAGAAGAAGCACCGGCUAACUCCGUGCCAGCAGCCGCGGUAAGUACGGAGGGUGCGAGCGUUAAUCGGAAUUACUGGGCGUAAAGCGCAUGCAGGCGGCCUGUUAAGUCAGAUGUGGAAGCCCGGGGCUUAACCUCGGAAUUGCAUUUGAAACUGGCAGGCUAGAGUCUUGUAGAGGGGUUAGAA